This 468-nucleotide ribosomal RNA is filed under the name uncultured bacterium. RNAcentral describes it as "partial 16S ribosomal RNA". It matches the Rfam family "Bacterial small subunit ribosomal RNA", at positions 28 to 507 of the family's 1533-position model. The record is from RNAcentral.
GACGAACGCUGGCGGCGUGCUUAACACAUGCAAGUCGAACGGACAGGCCCUGCUUUUGUGGGGUGCUCGAUUGGCGAACGGGUGAGUAACACGUGAGUAACCUGCCCUUGACUUUGGGAUAACUUCAGGAAACUGGGGCUAAUACCGGAUAUGAGCUCCUGCUGCAUGGUGGGGGUUGGAAAGUUUCGGCGGUUGGGGAUGGUCUCGCGGCUUAUCAGCUUGUUGGUGGGGUAGUGGCUUACCAAGGCUUUGACGGGUAGCCGGCCUGAGAGGGUGACCGGCCACAUUGGGACUGAGAUACGGCCCAGACUCCUACGGGAGGCAGCAGUGGGGAAUAUUGCACAAUGGGCGGAAGCCUGAUGCAGCAACGCCGCGUGCGGGAUGACGGCCUUCGGGUUGUAAACCGCUUUCGCCUGUGACGAAGCGUGAGUGACGGUAAUGGGUAAAGAGGCACCGGCUAACUACGUG